Peromyscus maniculatus bairdii (prairie deer mouse) is the source of this 106-nucleotide unclassified non-coding RNA. It matches the Rfam family "Y RNA". Rfam says of the family: Y RNAs are components of the Ro ribonucleoprotein particle (Ro RNP), in association with Ro60 and La proteins. The Y RNAs and Ro60 and La proteins are well conserved, but the function of the Ro RNP is not known. Lineage: Eukaryota; Metazoa; Chordata; Mammalia; Rodentia; Cricetidae. The record is from Ensembl.
GGUUGGUCGGAGGGUAGUGGUGUUUACAAUUAAUUGAUCACAACUAGUUGCAGAUUUCUUUGUUCCUUCUCCACUCCCACUACUUUACUUGAACAGCUGUCCUUAA